AAAUUGAAGAGUUUGAUCAUGGCUCAGAUUGAACGCUGGCGGCAGGCCUAACACAUGCAAGUCGAACGGUAACAGGAAGAAGCUUGCUUCUUUGCUGACGAGUGGCGGACGGGUGAGUAAUGUCUGGGAAACUGCCUGAUGGAGGGGGGUAACUACUGGAAACGGUAGCUAAUACCGCAUAACGUCGCAAGACCAAAGAGGGGGACCUUCGGGCCUCUUGCCAUCGGAUGUGCCCAGAUGGGAUUAGCUAGUAGGUGGGGUA
RNAcentral lists this ribosomal RNA (262 nucleotides) under Escherichia coli. RNAcentral's name for it is "partial 16S ribosomal RNA". It matches the Rfam family "Bacterial small subunit ribosomal RNA", at positions 1 to 259 of the family's 1533-position model. The record is from RNAcentral. Lineage: Bacteria; Pseudomonadati; Pseudomonadota; Gammaproteobacteria; Enterobacterales; Enterobacteriaceae.